UGGGCUUGACAUAUAGAGGAUCGCUACAGAGAUGUGGUUUCCCUUGUGGCUUCUAUACAGGUGGUGCAUGGUUGUCGUCAGCUCGUGUCGUGAGAUGUUGGGUUAAGUCCCGCAACGAGCGCAACCCUUGUCUUAUGUUGCCAGCACGUUAUGGUGGGGACUCGUGAGAGACUGCCGGGGUCAACUCGGAGGAAGGUGGGGAUGACGUCAAAUCAUCAUGCCCCUUAUGUCCAGGGCUUCACACAUGCUACAAUGGCCGGUACAGAGGGCUGCGAUGCCGUGAGGCGGAGCGAAUCUCUUAAAGCCGGUCUCAGUUCGGAUUGGGGUCUGCAACUCGACCCCAUGAAGUCGGAGUCGCUAGUAAUCGCAGAUCAGCAACGCUGCGGUGAAUACGUUCCCGGGCC
This 404-nucleotide ribosomal RNA is filed under the name uncultured bacterium. RNAcentral describes it as "bacterial SSU rRNA". It matches the Rfam family "Bacterial small subunit ribosomal RNA", at positions 976 to 1380 of the family's 1533-position model. The record is from RNAcentral.